This 572-nucleotide ribosomal RNA is filed under the name Virgibacillus sp. Its description in RNAcentral is "bacterial SSU rRNA". It matches the Rfam family "Bacterial small subunit ribosomal RNA", at positions 792 to 1369 of the family's 1533-position model. The record is from RNAcentral. Lineage: Bacteria; Bacillati; Bacillota; Bacilli; Caryophanales; Bacillaceae.
AGUCCACGCCGUAAACGAUGAGUGCUAGGUGUUAGGGGGUUUCCGCCCUUAGUGCUGAAGUUAACGCAUUAAGCACUCCGCCUGGGGAGUACGGCCGCAAGGCUGAAACUCAAAAGAAUUGACGGGGGCCCGCACAAGCGGUGGAGCAUGUGGUUUAAUUCGACGCAACGCGAAGAACCUUACCAGGUCUUGACAUCCUCUGCAAUCGGUAGAGAUACCGAGUUCCCUUCGGGGACAGAGUGACAGGUGGUGCAUGGUUGUCGUCAGCUCGUGUCGUGAGAUGUUGGGUUAAGUCCCGCAACGAGCGCAACCCUUGAUCUUAGUUGCCAGCAUUUAGUUGGGCACUCUAAGGUGACUGCCGGUGACAAACCGGAGGAAGGUGGGGAUGACGUCAAAUCAUCAUGCCCCUUAUGACCUGGGCUACACACGUGCUACAAUGGAUGGAACAAAGGGAAGCAAAACCGCGAGGUCAAGCAAAUCCCAUAAAACCAUUCUCAGUUCGGAUUGCAGGCUGCAACUCGCCUGCAUGAAGCCGGAAUCGCUAGUAAUCGCGAUCAGCUGCCGCGAAUGCC